GAUGAACGCUGGCGGUAUGCUUAACACAUGCAAGUCGAACGGGAUCUUUCGGGAUCUAGUGGCGGACGGGUGAGUAACGCGUGAGAAUAUGCCUAUUGAUUGGGGACAACAGUUGGAAACGGCUGCUAAUACCGAAUGAGCCUACGGGUAAAAGAUUUAUCGUCAAUAGAUUAGCUCGCGUCAGAUUAGCUAGUUGGAGUGGUAACGGCACACCAAGGCGACGAUCUGUACUUGGUCUGAGAGGAUGGCCAGGCACACUGGAACUGAGACACGGUCCAGACUCCUACGGGAGGCAGCAGUGGGGAAUUUUCCGCAAUGGGCGCAAGCCUGACGGAGCAAUACCGCGUGAGGGAGGAAGGCUCUUGGGUUGUAAACCUCUUUUAUCAGGGAAGAAUCAAUGACGGUACCUGAUGAAUCAGCAUCGGCUAACUCCGUGCCAGCAGCCGCGGUAAUACGGGGGAUGCAAGCGUUAUCCGGAAUUAUUGGGCGUAAAGCGUCCGUAGGUGGCUUAUCAAGUCUGCUGUUAAAGAAUGCGGCUCAACCGCAUAUGGGCAGUGGAAACUGAUGAGCUAGAGUGCGAUAGGGGUUACAGGAAUUCCCAGUGUAGCGGUGAAAUGCGUAGAUAUUGGGAAGAACACCAGCGGCGAAAGCGUGUGACUGGGUCUGCACUGACACUGAGGGACGAAAGCUAGGGGAGCGAAAGGGAUUAGAUACCCCUGUAGUCCUAGCCGUAAACGAUGACAACUAGGUGUGGUUCGUAUCGACCCGAGCCGUGCCGUAGCCAACGCGUUAAGUUGUCCGCCUGGGGAGUACGCACGCAAGUGUGAAACUCAAAGGAAUUGACGGGGGCCCGCACAAGCGGUGGAGUAUGUGGUUUAAUUCGAUGCAACGCGAAGAACCUUACCAAGGCUUGACAUCCUGCGAAUCUCCUUGAAAGGGGAGAGUGCCUUCGGGAGCGCAGAGACAGGUGGUGCAUGGCUGUCGUCAGCUCGUGUCGUGAGAUGUUGGGUUAAGUCCCGCAACGAGCGCAACCCACGUUUUUAGUUGCCAUCAUUCAGUUGGGCACUCUAGAGAGACUGCCGGUGACAAACCGGAGGAAGGUGUGGAUGACGUCAAGUCAGCAUGCCCCAUACGCCUUGGGCUACACACGUACUACAAUGCGUUGGACAGAGGGUCGCAAGCGUGCGAGCGCAAGCCAAUCUCGUAAACCAACGCUCAGUUCAGAUUGCAGGCUGCAACUCGCCUGCAUGAAGGCGGAAUCGCUAGUAAUCGCAGGUCAGCAUACUGCGGUGAAUACGUUCCCGGGCCUUGUACACACCGCCCGUCACACCAUGGGAGUUGGUCAUGCCCGAAGUCGUUACUCUAACCGUUCGCGGAGGAGGAUGCCGAAGGUGGGGCUGAUGACUGGGGUGAAGUCGUAACAAGGUAGCCGUACCGGAAGGUGUGGCUGGAUCACCUCCUUA
Molecule: ribosomal RNA, 1463 nt
Filed under: Plectolyngbya hodgsonii ANT.LPR2.2
Lineage: Bacteria; Bacillati; Cyanobacteriota; Cyanophyceae; Leptolyngbyales; Leptolyngbyaceae
Also listed under: 1 other name
Description: bacterial SSU rRNA
Rfam family: Bacterial small subunit ribosomal RNA
Source: RNAcentral